Nerophis ophidion (straightnose pipefish) is the source of this 404-nucleotide long non-coding RNA. RefSeq lists it as uncharacterized. NCBI's taxonomy places the organism in Eukaryota, Metazoa, Chordata, Actinopteri, Syngnathiformes, Syngnathidae. The transcript is spliced from 3 exons. The record is from RefSeq and is a predicted model, not a curated record.
ACUUGAAGCUCAUCGAGAGAAUCCCAAGAGUGUGCAAAAUGAUAAUCUGCGCAAAGGGUGGCUAUUUUGAAUGUGAGCGGCACCAGGGGCAAAGGGUGAAGUGUCCUGCCCAAGGACACAACGGCAGCAAUUUUUUGGAUGUCAAUAGGUGGGAAGCAAACCUGCAACCCUCAGGUUUCUGGCCGGCCGCUCUACCCACUACGCCAUGCCGUGGAGGUUUCUCACCUUCAGAGCGACAGGUGAUUAGAUAAGCAGGCCCAGGUGGGCCAUCCACGCACCUGUCGCUGAUCUCGAAGCCGGUCCUGGCAUACGCCGCUUCGCUGCAGAGCCGCAGGCCACGCCCCCCUCCACAAUGUACUUAAUGUAUUACUUGGAACUGACUAUGACAUACUCAAUAAACAAUG